CUGCUCCUAGUACGAGAGGACCGGAGUGGACGCAUCACUGGUGUUCGGGUUGUCAUGCCAAUGGCACUGCCCGGUAGCUAAAUGCGGAAGAGAUAAGUGCUGAAAGCAUCUAAGCACGAAACUUGCCCCGAGAUGAGUUCUCCCUGACCCUUUAAGGGUCCUGAAGGAACGUUGAAGACGACGACGUUGAUAGGCCGGGUGUGUAAGCGCAGCGAUGCGUUGAGCUAACCGGUACUAAUGAACCGUGAGGCUUAACCUUACAACGCCGAAG
Molecule: ribosomal RNA, 271 nt
Filed under: Escherichia coli
Lineage: Bacteria; Pseudomonadati; Pseudomonadota; Gammaproteobacteria; Enterobacterales; Enterobacteriaceae
Description: partial 23S ribosomal RNA
Rfam family: Bacterial large subunit ribosomal RNA
Source: RNAcentral